CCAAUCCAGAAUAGGAAAUCCAAGCAUUGCCUGGAGCUGCAGGAAAACAGUGAAAAUGAAUUUGGAUUUCAACUGGUUCUUCAAAAAUGCACUGGCCAGUGCUGGUCUAUAACAAAUGUACUGAAAAACUUGUCAUGUUUGAGCUCCCCUAAUGGAGGCUGCAUAAGCAACAUGGACAGGAUAAAUGGCAAGGCUUCCUCUCCAAGAUCACACUUCACAGUUCCUCUAGAGAAGAAAAGGAACAACUCAACAUCAGAAGAAAACCUACUCCCAAGUUCUCCUGGUCACCCUUGUCCUGGGGGCUUUUUAUCAUUGUGCUACAGCACUUCCUCCUCAUUUUCCUAAGGAAUGUUGCUUUGCCUACACAACUAAACCUAUUCAUCAGUCCAAACUGGUGGCUUACUACAAGACCUUCAGUGACUGUGCCUUACAGUCUGUCACGUUAAGAUUAAGGGUGGCAAAAAUACCUGUGCUGACCCUUCCAAGAUUUGGGUGAAGAAUGGCAUCAACCACUUGAACAAGAGAAAAUGAAACACAGACCACCUCUGAAGACCACACAACCACUCUGUACACUAUAGCCUCCCCUUGACGGGGCUUUUGUGCAGCAACAUAUUUAUAGCUCGCUGAAAUAGUUUUAUAGCAGAACAGACAAUCAAUUCAGUGAGGAGAGACAGAGACCUGCCUGCCGAGGCCAGGAAACCCUACAUAGGAUGCUCCUAAAAGCAUAUUUUCAA
Long non-coding RNA from Alligator sinensis (Chinese alligator), 734 nucleotides. RefSeq lists it as uncharacterized. The record is from RefSeq and is a predicted model, not a curated record. NCBI's taxonomy places the organism in Eukaryota, Metazoa, Chordata, Crocodylia, Alligatoridae. The transcript has 4 exons.